RNAcentral lists this ribosomal RNA (479 nucleotides) under Burkholderia sp. Its description in RNAcentral is "bacterial SSU rRNA". It matches the Rfam family "Bacterial small subunit ribosomal RNA", at positions 88 to 582 of the family's 1533-position model. Lineage: Bacteria; Pseudomonadati; Pseudomonadota; Betaproteobacteria; Burkholderiales; Burkholderiaceae. The record is from RNAcentral.
GUGGCGAGUGGCGAACGGGUGAGUAAUACAUCGGAACAUGUCCUGUAGUGGGGGAUAGCCCGGCGAAAGCCGGAUUAAUACCGCAUACGAUCUACGGAUGAAAGCGGGGGACCUUCGGGCCUCGCGCUAUAGGGUUGGCCGAUGGCUGAUUAGCUAGUUGGUGGGGUAAAGGCCUACCAAGGCGACGAUCAGUAGCUGGUCUGAGAGGACGACCAGCCACACUGGGACUGAGACACGGCCCAGACUCCUACGGGAGGCAGCAGUGGGGAAUUUUGGACAAUGGGCGAAAGCCUGAUCCAGCAUGCCGCGUGUGUGAAGAAGCCUUCGGGUUGUAAAGACUUUUGUCGGAAGAAUCCUUGGUCUAAUAUAGCCGGGGGUGACGGUACGGAGAAUAAGCACCGCUAACUACGGCCAGCACCGCGGUAAUACUAGGUGAAGCGUUAACGGAAUUACUGGGCGAAGCGGGCAGCGGUUGCUAA